Long non-coding RNA from Hirundo rustica (Barn swallow), 1271 nucleotides. RefSeq lists it as uncharacterized. Lineage: Eukaryota; Metazoa; Chordata; Aves; Passeriformes; Hirundinidae. The record is from RefSeq and is a predicted model, not a curated record. The transcript has 4 exons.
ACAUUGCUGACUAAACAGUAUUUAUUCUAUUUGUUUUGGUGAUUACAGUUGUGAUAUUUUAUGUGGAGGGAGGGAACUAAGAGAAAUGCAGAGUAUCCAGCUGUUACUUUCUAUUUGUCUUUGAGAUUUGUAUUGGCAUCCAUUUUCCUAGGUUGACUCUCUACUCUCUGCUUGCUCCCCACCUACCUGACUUGUGCAAGUGCAGUGCUUGCUUGGAAAAGAAAAUGCACCUUAACCCCUGUACCUUCACCAAGCAAAUUGCCAGAACUUGGCUUUUGACACUUGUUGAAAAUGAGCAUCAGCAUUUUCCAGAGCGAAAACCAGAGCUGCUUUGAAGUUACUCACUUAACACAAAAGACCUGGAAGGCUUUCAUAUGCACAUUGGAAGUCAAGUGGGGCAUAAAUUGUAUUAAAAUUUCAAUUUAUUCUCUCAGGCCUUUUGAUGAUCUAUCACCAGGUCAUACUGUUGCUCGGUACUUUGUUCACUGAAGACCAGUUCAGUGUUUAAUCUCCAGGACAUACCUACUUAACAUUGGUUUCAUCCUGUAGCUGCUUGGAGGGAGAAUCAUUCCCAUAAGCCAGAGCUCUCUCACAUCCUGUGUUGAACUGAUUUGGGCAAGGAUAGAGACACAUGAUUUCAAGACAGCCAGCCACAGUAAAAAGAAAUCAAAUCAGGCAGCUUAAAUCAGCAGCCUUUUGAGAUUACAACCCUGUCCUGUCAACCUAGAGAAGAGAGGAAGCCCAUCAGCACACAGGAAAGAUUUCUGUCUUCAGAUUCUCCUCUCCACCCCUGGACAAUCUCUCUAGAAUUAAAUACUUCCUGGGAUUCACAGGAAAGAGCCAAUAAGGAUCAAAAUUAUGUGUCAUUUCCUUUAAAAGGAUGAAAAACAAACCAGCUAUGAAGAAAGCAGGUCGCAAGAAUCAAGAAAAACCGUUUUCCACAGAAUUCCAGAGCAGUAUCACCCCUUCUUCAGGGUCUUCAGAAGAUUGAAAAGCUUUCCUUGAGCAGAGCAUGUUGUGGGGAUGAAUGGAGGAGCACAGACAAACCACAUGUUCUUCUGUUGGACAGGUCAGACCUACCAGGUCUGAAGAUGCAAGAACCGAGGCAUAGCUUAGAGUAGCCCUAAAGCUUCUUUAAGUUGUGCUUGGGAAACAGUUGUCUCUACGUGGCUGCUGGGGUGGAAGGGAUCAUUCUAGUGUAUUUAAAGCAUGUUUAGUUCACACCAUCUCUUUUGUAAUUACAUGAGGCAUGCUAUUGUCACAUGCAAUCA